Long non-coding RNA from Acanthopagrus latus (yellowfin seabream), 330 nucleotides. RefSeq lists it as uncharacterized. The transcript is spliced from 3 exons. The record is from RefSeq and is a predicted model, not a curated record. Lineage: Eukaryota; Metazoa; Chordata; Actinopteri; Spariformes; Sparidae.
AGUUCUCGCCCAGUCCGAGGCGCACUGCUUUGUAUUCACUGUCGGUCCACUUACAGCUGAAGGGUCAUCCUCGAGACGCAGAAAUGCUCCUCCCAGCCAGACACCCAGAGCGUUUUAAGACUCAUCAACUUUGAAAGACUUCUGCAAUUUACAGCACAUGAAGAGGAAUACGUAUGGAAAAGGAAACCAGGCAGCUGUAUUGGCCCAGUUUGGGUGUAUCUAUGUCCGUCAAGACCAGAUUCUGACCAACCUGCCUGAUGCUGUCAUCUAACUUGACAUCCUCCAUCUCUUCAUUUUCAACCUUCCAUGUGACGGCUUCGUCGGUCUUUG